This 253-nucleotide ribosomal RNA is filed under the name uncultured bacterium. RNAcentral describes it as "partial 16S ribosomal RNA". It matches the Rfam family "Bacterial small subunit ribosomal RNA", at positions 524 to 776 of the family's 1533-position model. The record is from RNAcentral.
UACAGAGGUCUCAAGCGUUGUUCGGAUUCAUUGGGCGUAAAGGGUGCGUAGGCGGCGCGGUAAGUCGGGGGUGAAAUCCCGAGGCUCAACCUCGGAACUGCCUUCGAUACUGCGGGUCUCGAGUCCGGGAGAGGUGAGUGGAAUUCCUAGUGUAGAGGUGAAAUUCGUAGAUAUUAGGAAGAACACCAGUGGCGAAGGCGGCUCACUGGCCCGGUACUGACGCUGAGGCGCGAAAGCGUGGGGAGCAAACAGG